This 205-nucleotide ribosomal RNA is filed under the name uncultured bacterium. RNAcentral's name for it is "partial 16S ribosomal RNA". It matches the Rfam family "Bacterial small subunit ribosomal RNA", at positions 524 to 725 of the family's 1533-position model. The record is from RNAcentral.
GACAGAGGGUGCAAACGUUGCUCGGAAUCACUGGGCGUAAAGGGCGCGUAGGCGGCCCGGCAAGUCAACGGUGAAAGCUUGGGGCUCAACCCCGAGUCGGCCGUCGAUACUUCCGGGCUGGAGCACUGUAGGAGGCAGGUGGAAUUCCGGGUGUAGCGGUGGAAAUGCGUAGAGAUCCGGAAGAACGACCGGUGGCGAAGGCGGC